UGAGCAUAAAAAAAAUUAAGAUAUGGCUUUCAAAGUGUGGGUGUUUUCCCUCAUGUUUAUGAUGAUAGCAUUAUGUGUCUCGCCAAAGGUUGAAGCAAAAGACAUUCCCAUAUGUUGUUGCAAGACAGACGCAGACUGUAAACGUCUUUGUGGCGAUAUACUUCCCUAUUAUUUUGAUGGUGAGUGGUGUGAAUGUGGGCAUCAGCCUCCCAAAGGUCGAAAUACACAAACUAGUGAAAACAUAAAUUAAAGAAUUAAAAUUGCGUAGCGUGAAAUAAAAGCAAUAAUAUAUUUGGAAUUUAA
Long non-coding RNA from Solanum pennellii, 303 nucleotides. RefSeq lists it as uncharacterized. NCBI's taxonomy places the organism in Eukaryota, Viridiplantae, Streptophyta, Magnoliopsida, Solanales, Solanaceae. The transcript has 2 exons. The record is from RefSeq and is a predicted model, not a curated record.